RNAcentral lists this ribosomal RNA (253 nucleotides) under uncultured bacterium. RNAcentral describes it as "partial 16S ribosomal RNA". It matches the Rfam family "Bacterial small subunit ribosomal RNA", at positions 524 to 776 of the family's 1533-position model. The record is from RNAcentral.
UACAGAGGUGGCAAGCGUUGUUCGGAAUUACUGGGCUUAAAGGGCGCGUAGGCGGCCUUCUAAGUCGGACGUGAAAGCCCCAGGCUUAACCUGGGAACUGCGUCCGAUACUGGAAGGCUUGGAUUCGGGAGAGGGAUGUGGAAUUCCAGGUGUAGCGGUGAAAUGCGUAGAUAUCAGGAGGAAUACCGAUGGCGAAGGCAGGUCUCUGGGCUGACACUGACGCUCAUGCACGAAAGCGUGGGGAGCAAACAGG